UGGGCAUGACCCUCUCCAGGGACAGUGCCAGGUGGGGAGUUUGGGGCAGUACACCUGUCAAACAGUAACACAGGUGUCCUAAGUCAAGCUCAGGGAGGACAGAAACCUCCUGUGGAGCAGAAGGGCAAAAGCUUGCUUGAUCUUGAUUUUCAGUACGAAUACAGACCAUGAAAGCCAGGCCUCACAUUCUUUCUGACCUUUUGGGUUUUAAGCAGGAGGUGUCAGAAAAGUUACUA
This 236-nucleotide non-coding RNA is filed under the name Heterocephalus glaber (naked mole-rat). RNAcentral describes it as "Eukaryotic large subunit ribosomal RNA". It matches the Rfam family "Eukaryotic large subunit ribosomal RNA", at positions 2581 to 2820 of the family's 3401-position model. The record is from Rfam by way of RNAcentral. Lineage: Eukaryota; Metazoa; Chordata; Mammalia; Rodentia; Bathyergidae.